GCCAGCAGCCAUAUCACCCUACAACUCACAACUGGCAACCCACUGAAGCUAAGCAGGUGUGAGCCUGGUCAGUACCUGGAUGGGAGACCUCCUGGGAAAAACUAAGGUUGCUACUGGAN
Lepisosteus oculatus (spotted gar) is the source of this 119-nucleotide ribosomal RNA. NCBI's taxonomy places the organism in Eukaryota, Metazoa, Chordata, Actinopteri, Semionotiformes, Lepisosteidae. The record is from Ensembl.